Molecule: ribosomal RNA, 459 nt
Filed under: uncultured Alphaproteobacteria bacterium
Lineage: Bacteria; Pseudomonadati; Pseudomonadota; Alphaproteobacteria
Description: bacterial SSU rRNA
Rfam family: Bacterial small subunit ribosomal RNA
Source: RNAcentral
GAGUUUGAUCGUGGCUCAGAACGAACGCUGGCGGCAUGCCUAACACAUGCAAGUCGAACGAGACCUUCGGGUCUAGUGGCGCACGGGUGCGUAACGCGUGGGAAUCUACCCUUGGGUUCGGAAUAACAGUUAGAAAUGACUGCUAAUACCGGAUGAUGACGUAAGUCCAAAGAUUUAUCGCCCAAGGAUGAGCCCGCGUAGGAUUAGCUAGUUGGUGAGGUAAAGGCUCACCAAGGCGACGAUCCUUAGCUGGUCUGAGAGGAUGAUCAGCCACACUGGGACUGAGACACGGCCCAGACUCCUACGGGAGGCAGCAGUGGGGAAUAUUGGACAAUGGGCGAAAGCCUGAUCCAGCAAUGCCGCGUGAGUGAUGAAGGCCUUAGGGUUGUAAAGCUCUUUUACCCGGGAUGAUAAUGACAGUACCGGGAGAAUAAGCUCCGGCUAACUCCGUGCCAGCAG